GACAAUGCAGGCCAACGGGGAGGCAAUAAAGAUGAAAUGGAAGGAUAGUGGAGGAAGAAAAGAAGACACCAAAACCAAUUUAUGGUUUGAUGUUGACCUGACUUCACCUGAGCAGCUGGGUGGGUUCAUCAUUGGUGCAGUAUACUAUGAGUGUUUAAGCUGAUAUUGGAGAAACAAUGGCAACUGCAAAAACGGCUAACACUUUUCAAGAAAACCAGACAUGCUGUCUCUUUGAAAUACUUAAAUUAUGUAAUGAGAUUUGAUGUUUUAAGCACCCUGAUUGUCUUAAGUAAAAAACAAACCUUCCGUUACAGUCAUUUUAUGUUUCUUUUCCCUUUCCCUCGUCUAUCUCUCACAACCGAGACACCCAGCAGAGGCUGCUCAUUUUAAUCCUCCCAACUAUAAUGAAGACAACAGUGAUGAUUCUCUUUCUUGGCUUGCAACGUUGAAAAUAAACCUUGAGAAAGAAAAGCGAGGCAAUGAAGAGGAUGACGAUGAAAGAAAAGACUUAGAGACAGCAGGCGAGAUGGGGGGAGAAAAAAAAGGGUUUUGUUUUAAAGACAAUAGCAAAAUGAAAAGUAGGGAAAUGAAAAGCUGGAUUUAAACAUGGAAACAAACGAGCUACGUAUGGGAAGAAAUAGGUGUAGGGCUUGCAAAUUGUUUCUGCCGAGUAAAGUCCUUUAAUAUGUAAAUAAGAUGCUAUUUGAAGGUAAGAGGUAGGCUGGAGCUGCUGGAGUAAUGGAACAUGAAAUAUGCAUAUUUUACAUAUGAUUUCAAGGUGUAGGCACGUACGAACACAGAGUUAAAGGGGAUGUAAAGG
Long non-coding RNA from Sebastes umbrosus (honeycomb rockfish), 820 nucleotides. RefSeq lists it as uncharacterized. The record is from RefSeq and is a predicted model, not a curated record. The transcript has 3 exons. Lineage: Eukaryota; Metazoa; Chordata; Actinopteri; Perciformes; Sebastidae.